GUGAGCCGCGCCUUCACCCGCGGGCUGGCCAAACUCGCUUCCCUAUCGGGGCGGGGCAAGGGCGCGGGUCCCUCUGCAGCGCUCUCUCCCUACCCACGGUGGGAUCGCAGCCCUCACAGGGUCCCGCCCUCCCGGAGCCGCACUGAAACCAGACUGCGAGGCCGACUUCCGGGUUCCGUCCCUCCACCUCGCAACGCUGCCAAACCGCGGAGGCCGCGGGGCCGUGCGCCCGGCCAAGACCAGAGGCACUUCCGGGAGAGCGGCCCCGCCCACUCUCGCCCGGGCGCGCGCCUGGGACCCGUUUCCGGUUCCGAAGGUCCGGAAACUGGCUGGAGGGUCCGGUGGGAGUCGGCCGGCAGUUGCGCUCCCUCCGGUCCAGGGGUGCCGCUCCGCCAUUUUGUGCAGAAUCCUGGGGUUGUUCAGGAAACCCUCUUACCAACAGCUGGUAUGGCUCAGCGUCCUGAGCUCCAGGAGUGGUCUGGACUGGUCUAAGGGAGAACAUCAUAAAAAACAGCGCAGAGCUUCCCAUUUGACGAACACUUAGAGAUUCCGGGAGAAUGACAUGCUCAGAGAGCAUGGAAGCUCCGUGCCCCUUCCCAGGUAACUUGCCCUAUACGUCUCUGUAUCUGGUUGCUCCUGGGUUUAUAUCCUUUUAUAAUAAACCAGUAAUGUUUGUUUUCCUUGCUAUCUAAAAAACAUAACAGAGUUGUGGAACAAACUACACAGUCCUUGAGAGAUUCUCUGAGUUCCAUGAAUGUUCCUUCAUAGGUUAUGCACAAAAUUUAAAUGUCAUCGAAGAGGUGAUUUGAAUGAUGUUGCAAAUCAUCAGUUCGUGCCUG
RNAcentral lists this long non-coding RNA (839 nucleotides) under Ailuropoda melanoleuca (giant panda). Its description in RNAcentral is "lncRNA (ENSAMEG00000026521.1)". The record is from RNAcentral. Lineage: Eukaryota; Metazoa; Chordata; Mammalia; Carnivora; Ursidae.